UGGGAAUUAGUCUGUGAGAGAGUUAAU
Molecule: non-coding RNA, 27 nt
Filed under: Rattus norvegicus (Norway rat)
Lineage: Eukaryota; Metazoa; Chordata; Mammalia; Rodentia; Muridae
Source: RNAcentral